AGGAUUAACGCUGGCGGCGUGCCUAACACAUGCAAGUCGAACGAGGUAGCAAUACCUAGUGGCAGACGGGUGAGUAACACGUGGUCAACCUACCCUUCAGUGGGGGAUAACUAACCGAAAGGUUAGCUAAUACCGCAUAUGUCCCGAAUCGCAUGAUUUGACGACAAAAGGAGCAAU
Molecule: ribosomal RNA, 177 nt
Filed under: uncultured bacterium
Lineage: Bacteria
Description: partial small subunit ribosomal RNA
Rfam family: Bacterial small subunit ribosomal RNA
Source: RNAcentral